UUCUGUGUGAUUUGAAGGAAUAAAUAUACCUUAUGCUAAACGAAUAUAAUUUUGAAUAUAAUUAUUAAAAACGAAAUCAGACGAAUUUAAAUUUGGAUAUAAAAUUUAUAUUCUAUCCGACUCGAACCUAAAAUUAUCUUAUAUCUGCAUUAUAUCUAUCUAUCUAUCUAUAUCUAUACAUUACUCUCUAUAAACUUGUCACACGACAACGUUCGCUUCAUUAUUGGAUAUGUCUCAAGUCUUUAAUAUAUUUUUCUUUUUCUUUGCUUGAAUCAGACCAAUCAUUAUUUAGUGUACGCUCUCCCGAAUCGACUCAAAUCCUCCAUAUAUUUUUUUCUUCCUUUCAUUGAAUCAAAUCGGGUUUUUCUCUUUUUUUGAUUGAGCCGAGUCGGACCACCCCUCUGCAUUGGACCGAAUUAUUUAUCUUCUAAAACUUCCUUCAUCGGCAAGAUGAAUUCCACCCCUUAUCGUCAUUUCUUUCAUCGCCGUUUUCUCUUCCUUUGUCGCCGUAUUUUAUUUUUUCCCUAAUUUUCUAUCCGUCGCAUCGCACGAAUUAUUACACUAGUUUUAUAUAAUAUAUAAUAUGAAUUGGGCUUGAAUACUAUUAAUAGUAUUUGAGCUAUUUUGCUAUCGAGUUUUUAACCUUUGGUGAAAAAUUGUAGAAUUAGGAUGAUAGUGGUCUCCUAGGGUUUAGUGGUAAUCCCCUAAGAUUGAGUGGGUGGUUAGCUAAAUAGUAUGAUCUAAAGAAUGAAAUUGAUUAAAGUGUAGAUCUGACAACUAAAAAAUCGAUAGUAGAGCCAAAAAAUUACUAAUAGUAUUCCAACUCAACUCUCUCUCUCUCUAUAUAUAUAUAUAUAUAGAUUUGAUGUUAUAUUUGAAUUUAUAUUUUAAAAUUUUAGAUUUAAUGUAUUAUAUUUUGAAAUGUUGUAAAAAAAAUAAUUGUUUUGGGUUUAGACUCGGGUUUGGGUUUUGAAUUUUUGAUUGAGUUUGGAUUUGGAUAUAGAUUUUUAAAAUACGUCAGAUUCAGAUUUGGGUUCGGAUUUCCGGUUCGGAGUCGGAUUUGCGUUCGGAUAUUUGAAAGAUCCACCCUGAAUCCGAUCUGUUGACAUUCCUAAUU
Molecule: long non-coding RNA, 1117 nt
Filed under: Ananas comosus (pineapple)
Lineage: Eukaryota; Viridiplantae; Streptophyta; Magnoliopsida; Poales; Bromeliaceae
Description: long non-coding RNA (ACOM_LNC027116)
Source: RNAcentral